RNAcentral lists this ribosomal RNA (492 nucleotides) under uncultured bacterium. RNAcentral's name for it is "partial 16S ribosomal RNA". It matches the Rfam family "Bacterial small subunit ribosomal RNA", at positions 29 to 507 of the family's 1533-position model. The record is from RNAcentral.
AGUGAACGCUGGCGGUAGGCCUAACACAUGCAAGUCGAACGGCAGCACAGUAAGAGCUUGCUCUUACGGGUGGCGAGUGGCGGACGGGUGAGGAAUACAUCGGAAUCUACUUUUUCGUGGGGGAUAACGUAGGGAAACUUACGCUAAUACCGCAUACGACCUACGGGUGAAAGCAGGGGAUCUUCGGACCUUGCGCGAUUGAAUGAGCCGAUGUCGGAUUAGCUAGUUGGCGGGGUAAAGGCCCACCAAGGCGACGAUCCGUAGCUGGUCUGAGAGGAUGGUUCGGCACAAUUGAAAUUAAGACCGGUUCCGACUCCCAAGGGAGGCAACCGGUGGGAAUAUUGGACAAUGGGCGCAAGCCUGAUCCAGCCAUACCGCGUGGGUGAAGAAGGCCUUCGGGUUGUAAAGCCCUUUUGUUGGGAAAGAAAAGCAGCAGGUUAAUACCCCGCUGUUCUGACGGUACCCAAAGAAUAAGCACCGGCUAACUUCGUG